AAUAGGAAGAGCAACCAGUUACUAUGAGUGAAAGGGAGCCAGAAGACUGAUUGGAGGGCCCUAUCUUGUGAGUGGGGCAUCUGUUGGACUUUCCACCUGGUCAUAUACUCUGCAGCUGUUAGAAUGUGCAAGCACUUGGGGACAGCAUGAGCUUGCUGUUGUACACAGGGUAUUUCUAGAAGCAGAAAUAGACUGGGAAGAUGCACAACCAAGGGGUUACAGGCAUCGCCCGUGCUCAGAGAUUGUUUAGGGACAUCCUAUAGGACAUUAAAUUAUUAAAUGACAAUCACAAAUAAUAUUAGGAUCAUAGUUAAAGAAUGUAGUUUAAAGGCAUCUCAUUUGUUAUAAGUAUAUUUUAUAUUACUUAAUGGGUGGUAAAAAUCUUAUCGCUAUUGCUAAAUGUCUUAGCAACACUCCACUUGAAAGCUGUGAAGGAAAUCUGCACAUAUUAUUGAAACUUUCCAAAUUCAAAACUAAAUAACAUUUCAAGAUCAAUUUUAUGAACUGGUUCUAAAAAGUGGCAAAAUAUCUACUACAGCUUUGUUUGCUCAUAGGAUAUAGUAAAGCACUAAAAGU
Molecule: long non-coding RNA, 576 nt
Filed under: Pan troglodytes (chimpanzee)
Lineage: Eukaryota; Metazoa; Chordata; Mammalia; Primates; Hominidae
Description: long non-coding RNA NONPTRT015508
Source: RNAcentral